Long non-coding RNA from Trichechus manatus latirostris (Florida manatee), 553 nucleotides. RefSeq lists it as uncharacterized. The record is from RefSeq and is a predicted model, not a curated record. Lineage: Eukaryota; Metazoa; Chordata; Mammalia; Sirenia; Trichechidae. The transcript has 3 exons.
AAGCUGACAGAGCAUGUGGUGUUGCUGUUGAUGCUGUGAAAGACAGUGCCCCAGGGCAGCCUGUGUUCCCACCCUCGGCUUGGCAAGAACUGAGAAAUACAUGCCACGGAAGGAAUAAGAACAACACCCACAAGGUGAUACAUGUUUCCUCCAAAAUCCAAUAAGACAUACCAAGCAAUGUGCCUCUUUCUAAGUGGUGGGUACUGGGCCCUUGCCAGCGACCAAUGGGAACAAUAGGACUGACUUAGGAAAUGGUUACAGACAAGAAAGAAGAGCAAAAAGAAUGUAUGUAUAUGUGCCUAUGUGAGUGUGCAUAUUUGUGUCUGAGUGUGUGUGUGAGACAGAGAGAGAGAUUUCUGGUAUUUCUCGAAUUAUAUUACCAAUUAAAAUUUAACAAAAAAUUUGGAGUUAUUUGUUGAUUUCUAUUAGCAAUUAACACCUAUAUUUAUAUUAACUAAUAUUUCUGAUUUAAAUAACAUCCUAUUUUCUACUUUAAACAUAAUUCUUAUCAAACUUUGUAAAUUAGCUUUUUUUUUCCAAAAAUUAUACUUUC